This 146-nucleotide ribosomal RNA is filed under the name uncultured eukaryote. Its description in RNAcentral is "partial 18S ribosomal RNA". It matches the Rfam family "Eukaryotic small subunit ribosomal RNA", at positions 1299 to 1458 of the family's 1831-position model. The record is from RNAcentral.
UGGUGGAUUGAUUUGUCUGGUUAAUUCCGAUAACGAGCGAGACAUCAGCCUGCUAAUUAGGUGUGGGAAUUUUCGGAUUCCAGGAUCAACACACCUUCUUAGAGGGACUAUUGGUGGUUAGCCAAUGGAAGUCUGAUGCAAUAACA